RNAcentral lists this ribosomal RNA (437 nucleotides) under Staphylococcus aureus. RNAcentral describes it as "bacterial SSU rRNA". It matches the Rfam family "Bacterial small subunit ribosomal RNA", at positions 53 to 472 of the family's 1533-position model. Lineage: Bacteria; Bacillati; Bacillota; Bacilli; Caryophanales; Staphylococcaceae. The record is from RNAcentral.
ACAUGCAAGUCGAGCGAACGGACGAGAAGCUUGCUUCUCUGAUGUUAGCGGCGGACGGGUGAGUAACACGUGGAUAACCUACCUAUAAGACUGGGAUAACUUCGGGAAACCGGAGCUAAUACCGGAUAAUAUUUUGAACCGCAUGGUUCAAAAGUGAAAGACGGUCUUGCUGUCACUUAUAGAUGGAUCCGCGCUGCAUUAGCUAGUUGGUAAGGUAACGGCUUACCAAGGCAACGAUGCAUAGCCGACCUGAGAGGGUGAUCGGCCACACUGGAACUGAGACACGGUCCAGACUCCUACGGGAGGCAGCAGUAGGGAAUCUUCCGCAAUGGGCGAAAGCCUGACGGAGCAACGCCGCGUGAGUGAUGAAGGUCUUCGGAUCGUAAAACUCUGUUAUUAGGGAAGAACAUAUGUGUAAGUAACUGUGCACAUCUUGA